CCGCUUACUAGUAGUAAACACUGUUUUCUUCUUUCUCUCCUAGGUUGCUACGUCCAAGGACUUGUUUGGGUCUCUGGAAAAGCAUUCUUAGACAUGGGACGUAUCAUUUGACAAAGAGACUUCUGUCUUGAUGUUUACGCAAUGGCAUUAGUUGUCAUAUCUACACUUGUUGGUUAGUGGAAGUGUAGGGUCCUCAGGCACCUGAGCAGUCACCGUUGCCCUUGGAUAGCAUGAGCUAAUGCCUCUCCUGUCCCCAUUCUCUGGGCACCUUCAAAUUGUCCCUGCUCUCCUGCGCCGUCAUAGUGUGUAUCACAGGCAUGAAAGUGCCUGAGUUGUGACUCUCUCUAACUAAACGUGAAGCUCUGUGAGAGGAGAGACCAAGUUGUACCAUGUUCAGUACCCACAUCCCCAAAAUGCUCCUCACAGAGAGUGCCUCGGGCUCUUGCUCAGAGAGUACGUGAAGCCUGAGCCUCUCCAUUGUCCUGCCUUUAAGUCGGACACCCAGGUCACAGGUGAGCAGUGAUGGACACACACCUGUUGACACACUGGUGUACACUGGAAAACAGUACAACUGCACUGAGCUCUUUCUGUUGAAUCUUUGUGUCAAAAGUCCUUUUACUUCCUAUGAUAGAGUCAGAUCGUGGAAUCACUGAGUCAAAAGUAGGAGGCUGUUAUGGCUCCAGAUGCACAUAUCACAUUGCUUUCCAGAGAACACCCACCUAAUCCCCACGACAAGCUGUGGAAGCACCUGCCCACAGCACCCUGGCAGGCAUGUUGCUCGUUGCGGCCUUUCUUAAACAAAGAUCAUUAUGUCUAUUCACCUACUGAGCUUCAUUUCUUUCAGUUACAAGGUCAGCUUUUACUGAGAAACCCUCUCAGUGCAAAACACAUGGAAUCAGGACUUAAGGAUUCUGAGCCCCAGUUGCUUUGUCUUCAAAAGGGGCUAAGACCAGGACACCUGCAGCUAUAAGCUGGGCCACUCGGCAGGUGGGGUUUGUGAAAACUCAUAGAACCUUUAUGCAGAAGGGUCUUCGCCUCCACCUAGUCCAAGCUCCCUUUUCAGAUGAGGAAACACUUCAGAAAGAUGAGGUGACGGUAAGCCAGGGCAGCAGCUUCUCUCCAUCCAUCCUCACAGAGCUCGGCCUCAGCCCCAGACCCAGAGUGGUCAGGAGCUCAGACAGAGGUCUGGUGUCACAUGUUCAUCCCUCACACUCUUGGAGAUGCACUGGGACAGCUAACCCUGGUCCCAGGGACAGGACAGACAGGCCCACACCAGGAAAGCAGCCUGACUCCACCAGAACUAUUGCAUUGCUGGCUCAGGUGGCUGCCCCACCUCAGAGCUUCGUCCUGCCUUUCUGGUUAAAAAAGCCCUGGUUUCCUCUAAUGACAUCUCAAUGGAGUGGUUAAGCAAUUAAAGGAGUUUCUUGUAGCAUUCCUGGCCUACAUGUUUACCUCCUGUUUAGAAUACUGGUUUAUAUUUAGGGUGAUUCAUUUAAAAUGGUUUCCUCUUUGCCAGCUUUCCCUCUGCCCUCCCACCUAGUUUCUUGGCCAGUUCCAACCUCUGGAAGCUUCUGGCUAGGAUCAGUAUGGAUGGAACUGCUAAACAACAACAUACACAAUGCAGAAGAAGCAAGCACUAUUUGAUCCACUGAAGCUCCUGAGCAGAAGUGUCGAUGGAAUGAGAGUCCCGGGGCUGCGAGGGAUAAGCACGGCUUUUCCUGGGGCAGCAGCGAGCCCAUCCCUGCAGCCAGGAUGUGAUGAGAAUGAAUGCUGUGAGGGCCUGAGUUGCCUCACAAGCUGACCUCCUCUACUGCACUGACUUUCACCUCACCCAUCAGCCUCCUACCAGCAGUGUUACAUCUUGGAUCUUGUCAUCCCUUAGACCUGUUCCACCUCUGGAAUCUUCCUGUUGGCCUCUCCUGACCAGAACUUAUUUAACUUCUACCUCUCCCACAUGCUACACCCACUGAACUUGCUCUUCUUCCUGUUAGGAGUUCCUGUUUCUUUACCCCUCCCAAUUCUCCCAGUCCCUCGUCAGCCUCCUUUAAAGGUAAUUACAUGACUCCCUUCCC
This is a long non-coding RNA of Myotis brandtii (Brandt's bat), 2072 nucleotides long. RefSeq lists it as uncharacterized. NCBI's taxonomy places the organism in Eukaryota, Metazoa, Chordata, Mammalia, Chiroptera, Vespertilionidae. The record is from RefSeq and is a predicted model, not a curated record. The transcript has 3 exons.